AACGAACGCUGGCGGCAUGCCUAACACAUGCAAGUCGAACGAGACCUUCGGGUCUAGUGGCGCACGGGUGCGUAACGCGUGGGAAUCUGCCCUUGGGUUCGGAAUAACAGUUGGAAACGACUGCUAAUACCGGAUGAUGACGUAAGUCCAAAGAUUUAUCGCCCAAGGAUGAGCCCGCGUAGGAUUAGCUAGUUGGUGAGGUAAAGGCUCACCAAGGCGACGAUCCUUAGCUGGUCUGAGAGGAUGAUCAGCCACACUGGGACUGAGACACGGCCCAGACUCCUACGGGAGGCAGCAGUGGGGAAUAUUGGACAAUGGGCGAAAGCCUGAUCCAGCAAUGCCGCGUGAGUGAUGAAGGCUUUAGGGUUGUAAAGCUCUUUUACCCGGGAUGAUAAUGACAGUACCGGGAGAAUAAGCUCCGGCUAACUCCGUG
This 433-nucleotide ribosomal RNA is filed under the name uncultured bacterium. RNAcentral describes it as "partial 16S ribosomal RNA". It matches the Rfam family "Bacterial small subunit ribosomal RNA", at positions 29 to 507 of the family's 1533-position model. The record is from RNAcentral.